RNAcentral lists this ribosomal RNA (253 nucleotides) under uncultured Rikenellaceae bacterium. RNAcentral describes it as "partial 16S ribosomal RNA". It matches the Rfam family "Bacterial small subunit ribosomal RNA", at positions 524 to 776 of the family's 1533-position model. Lineage: Bacteria; Pseudomonadati; Bacteroidota; Bacteroidia; Bacteroidales; Rikenellaceae. The record is from RNAcentral.
UACGUAGGGGGCAAGCGUUAUCCGGAUUUACUGGGUGUAAAGGGAGCGUAGGUUGUUUUAUAAGUUAGCGGUGAAAUACCGAUGCUCAACAUCGGGGCUGCCGCUGAUACUGUAGGACUAGAGAUCGGAUGCAGCAGGCGGAAUGUGUAGUGUAGCGGUGAAAUGCAUAGAUAUUACACAGAACACCGAUUGCGAAGGCAGCUUGCUAGGCCGGAUCUGACACUGAUGCACGAAAGCGUGGGGAUCGAACAGG